GAAGGCAAGAACCAGUUACUGUUGCAUCAUCCACCUUAUCGCGACACUUUAUAUUGUAAACAUACCAUAGACUUGGCUUACUUCCCUGUGGCAAAAUAUCAUUAAAAAAAUAACCAAACAAAUUACGUUGUGAAACCAUAACUAAAACGUCUUUCAGCAAAAGCUUUGCGAGAGCAGAAAUACAACGGGAAACGCAAGAAAGCCGCACUAGUUGGCAGUUGUACUUAGACGGAAGGGUCAUUCGUAACACCUUCUACACAAGCUGUAUUCAAGUACGUGUGUCACCUCUGACAUUAUGACAUCCAAAUGUCUAAGCUGGAUAUUCCAGUCACCAGGGGAAAAAGUCUCCCGCGUAGAAAGCAAACCACCUCAGACUUCCUUUUCAAAACUGCUAGGUGACGAUGUCGAUGAUACUCGACACACCUUCCCACAAAAAUGAAAGUCUGAAAAGUGCGAUCGUGGAUACCAACUUUGAGUCACUUGCAUUCCUUCAAAAUGAGUAAUUUAAGCCUCACGACUUUCUUUCAAACAUUGCAAACCUUUUCUAACUCACUUUGCUACAGUUCGCCCUGUUCCUCGAUAAGGCGAAUUUAAUUUUAUCCCAGAAGUAUUUAUCAUUAUUUUUAUUUAGCUCUGGAUGUGAGUUUGUGUAAGGAAGCAAGGCCUAGAGGUAAAGUCCUCAAAUCGUUUUUAUCAGUGAACAGUCAGAGCUUUUCUGCUAGCUUCGGGGAAAAUUAUCAAAAAGGAACUUGAGAGUUCAGUCUAGCUUGGGUGGAAGGAUGACGGAAAAGAGAGUAAAGAAGGGGGGGGGGGGAUACGGUAUGUGUUGAAAAGGAUCCUUCAGCCAUCGACGAGGUAAUUUAGUUUGCGUGUCGACUAGUCCAGUAAUUUGACCCGAAGCAAUAUCCACCAAUCUCACGAGUCUCGUCAAACUUUGCGUAAGAAUCAUUGACUGGUGCCGCAGGAUCCUUUCCAGCAGUCGAGGUAGAGGCGGACAAAAAUGCUUUGGGAAUGGAAAAAUUAACUAGAAUAUGAUACAAAACAGCGUCAAAUUAAAUAUUGAUUUUAUUUUCCAUCCA
Pocillopora damicornis (cauliflower coral) is the source of this 1079-nucleotide long non-coding RNA. Lineage: Eukaryota; Metazoa; Cnidaria; Anthozoa; Scleractinia; Pocilloporidae. The record is from RefSeq and is a predicted model, not a curated record.